Long non-coding RNA from Drosophila willistoni, 675 nucleotides. RefSeq lists it as uncharacterized. The record is from RefSeq and is a predicted model, not a curated record. Lineage: Eukaryota; Metazoa; Arthropoda; Insecta; Diptera; Drosophilidae. The transcript is spliced from 3 exons.
UCGUUUUAUAAGAAUUGGGCAGCAAUCGACUGCUUUUCGAUCUCGUGUUAAAUUUUUCCAUACAACAUACAAAAUUAAAAGCUCCAUCAUCUUAGAAGAAUUCUUUCGAAGUUUCCUUUUAUAUAAAUUUUUUAGAUCGAACUACUAUCUUAACAAAAUUUGUAAGAUUGUUUGUUUGGCAACUAAACGUUAAGAAAAUUCAAUCAGGCCGAUCAAAAAUAUAAUAUGGUAAUAAAAAGUUUUACAAUCAGAUGGUUAAAAAUGAGUCUGGUUCUUUAUCAAAAACGUCAAGAGUAUAGAACUGUCGUAAAUGGCCAAUGAAAGUAAAUUUGGGCAUAUUAUGACAAUGAUUAGAUCCCGCUGACCUUGUCUAUAUAGAAUACUAUACAUAGCUGGGUGAAAAUUUUUGCUGCCAUCUGCAUUAAUUGCUUCAAGCUGUUCUCCAUAAAAGUUCAUGGCUCGUAAAUUGAAAUGUUUAUUAACAUGAUGAUGAUAAUGAUGAUGAUGAUUGUGAUGAUGGCAAAAGACGAUGUUUAUUUAAAUAAUUUUCGGACUGAAAAGGCUUGCGGCGGCGAGCGUCAACCAAAUUUCCUUAAGCAAAAUUAGAAAACUUUUGGCUUUAUCUUCUUCACUCUGGCCUAAGCAAAUAUUUUUACAAACAACAAACAAAUAUUG